CAACCCUCAAGCACUGCUUGGUCUUGGGCUCCGCCGCUGACCCGGCGGGCCCUAAAACGAGUGGCGGCGCCAUCAGGCUCUGAGCGUAGUAGAUUUCCUCGCUAUAGAGCCCUGGUGACGGUGGCCAUCGAACCCCAACUUUCCAA
Molecule: unclassified non-coding RNA, 146 nt
Filed under: uncultured fungus
Lineage: Eukaryota; Fungi
Description: sequence contains ITS2
Source: RNAcentral